CGUAGGUGGCAAGCGUUGUCCGGAAUUAUUGGGCGUAAAGCGCGCGCAGGCGGUUCCUUAAGUCUGAUGUGAAAGCCCCCGGCUCAACCGGGGAAGGUCAUUGGAAACUGGGGAACUUGAGUGCAGAAGAGAAGAGCGGAAUUCCACGUGUAGCGGUGAAAUGCGUAGAGAUGUGGAGGAACACCAGUGGCGAAGGCGGCUCUUUGGUCUGUAACUGACGCUGAGGCGCGAAAGCGUGGGGAGCAAACAGGAUUAGAUACCCUGGUAGUCCACGCCGUAAACGAUGAGUGCUAAGUGUUAGAGGGUUUCCGCCCUUUAGUGCUGCAGCUAACGCAUUAAGCACUCCGCCUGGGAGUACGGCCGCAGGGCUG
RNAcentral lists this ribosomal RNA (371 nucleotides) under uncultured organism. RNAcentral's name for it is "bacterial SSU rRNA". It matches the Rfam family "Bacterial small subunit ribosomal RNA", at positions 526 to 896 of the family's 1533-position model. The record is from RNAcentral.